GGGUUGUGAGGUUAAGCGACUAAGCGUACACGGUGGAUGCCCUGGCAGUCAGAGGCGAUGAAGGGCGUACUAAUCUGCGAUAAGCGCCGGUAAGGUGAUAUGAACCGUUAUAACCGGCGAUACCCGAAUGGGGAAACCCAGUGUGAUUCGUCACACUAUCAUUAACUGAAUCCAUAGGUUAAUGAGGCGAACCGGGGGAACUGAAACAUCUAAGUACCCCGAGGAAAAGAAAUCAACCGAGAUUCCCCCAGUAGCGGCGAGCGAACGGGGAGGAGCCCAGAGCCUGAAUCAGCAUGUGUGUUAGUGGAAGCGUCUGGAAAGGCGCGCGAUACAGGGUGACAGCCCCGUACACAAAAGCGCAUGUGCUGUGAGCUCGAUGAGUAGGGCGGGACACGUGGUAUCCUGUCUGAAUAUGGGGGGACCAUCCUCCAAGGCUAAAUACUCCUGACUGACCGAUAGUGAACCAGUACCGUGAGGGAAAGGCGAAAAGAACCCCGGCGAGGGGAGUGAAAAAGAACCUGAAACCGUGUACGUACAAGCAGUGGGAGCACAGGUUUACCUGUGUGACUGCG
Molecule: ribosomal RNA, 572 nt
Filed under: Salmonella enterica subsp. enterica serovar Enteritidis
Lineage: Bacteria; Pseudomonadati; Pseudomonadota; Gammaproteobacteria; Enterobacterales; Enterobacteriaceae
Description: partial 23S ribosomal RNA
Rfam family: Bacterial large subunit ribosomal RNA
Source: RNAcentral